RNAcentral lists this ribosomal RNA (282 nucleotides) under uncultured Pseudomonas sp. Its description in RNAcentral is "partial 16S ribosomal RNA". It matches the Rfam family "Bacterial small subunit ribosomal RNA", at positions 1100 to 1382 of the family's 1533-position model. The record is from RNAcentral. Lineage: Bacteria; Pseudomonadati; Pseudomonadota; Gammaproteobacteria; Pseudomonadales; Pseudomonadaceae.
AACCCUUGUCCUUAGUUACCAGCACGUUAUGUGGGCACUCUAAGGAGACUGCCGGUGACAAACCGGAGGAAGGUGGGGAUGACGUCAAGUCAUCAUGGCCCUUACGGCCUGGGCUACACACGUGCUACAAUGGUCGGUACAAAGGGUUGCCAAGCCGCGAGGUGGAGCUAAUCCCAUAAAACCGAUCGUAGUCCGGAUCGCAGUCUGCAACUCGACUGCGUGGAGUCGGAAUCGCUAGUAAUCGUGAAUCAGAAUGUCACGGUGAAUACGUUCCCGGGCCUU